Molecule: ribosomal RNA, 717 nt
Filed under: Arthrobacter pascens
Lineage: Bacteria; Bacillati; Actinomycetota; Actinomycetes; Micrococcales; Micrococcaceae
Description: bacterial SSU rRNA
Rfam family: Bacterial small subunit ribosomal RNA
Source: RNAcentral
AGCUUGCUGGGGGGAUUAGUGGCGAACGGGUGAGUAACACGUGAGUAACCUGCCCUUGACUCUGGGAUAAGCCUGGGAAACUGGGUCUAAUACCGGAUAUGACUCCUCAUCGCAUGGUGGGGGGUGGAAAGCUUUUGUGGUUUUGGAUGGACUCGCGGCCUAUCAGCUUGUUGGUGAGGUAAUGGCUCACCAAGGCGACGACGGGUAGCCGGCCUGAGAGGGUGACCGGCCACACUGGGACUGAGACACGGCCCAGACUCCUACGGGAGGCAGCAGUGGGGAAUAUUGCACAAUGGGCGCAAGCCUGAUGCAGCGACGCCGCGUGAGGGAUGACGGCCUUCGGGUUGUAAACCUCUUUCAGUAGGGAAGAAGCGAAAGUGACGGUACCUGCAGAAGAAGCGCCGGCUAACUACGUGCCAGCAGCCGCGGUAAUACGUAGGGCGCAAGCGUUAUCCGGAAUUAUUGGGCGUAAAGAGCUCGUAGGCGGUUUGUCGCGUCUGCCGUGAAAGUCCGGGGCUCAACUCCGGAUCUGCGGUGGGUACGGGCAGGCUAGAGUGAUGUAGGGGAGACUGGAAUUCCUGGUGUAGCGGUGAAAUGCGCAGAUAUCAGGAGGAACACCGAUGGCGAAGGCAGGUCUCUGGGCAUUAACUGACGCUGAGGAGCGAAAGCAUGGGGAGCGAACAGGAUUAGAUACCCUGGUAGUCCAUGCCGUAAACG